Molecule: non-coding RNA, 71 nt
Organism: Danionella cerebrum
Lineage: Eukaryota; Metazoa; Chordata; Actinopteri; Cypriniformes; Danionidae
Source: the annotation of a GenBank genome assembly
GCCCCAGUGGCAUAAUGGAUAACUCCUGUCCUCCUAAGCCAGGAGUUGGGGUUCAAAUCCCAUCUGGGGUU